UAAAAAAUACGUCAAGUUAAAGCCUUCAUGGCAGCUAUCGAGCUAACUUACUUUUACCCGCAAGUGCGACCGCACAACGCCAAACCACUGGAGCGUUAGAGCGAACUACUCAAGGCAACGACUCCGCCUUUUUGGCCCUACGCACGGUUCACCAGUCGCCGUGGUUUGGUGGGUACCUGGGUACGCGUAUUCUCCUAGACCGAAAAAAAAGGUGAGGAUCAAGAGUGUCUCCUGAUUGAUGGUAAAAGUGGGAAAAUGAAGAACCACGAGUAGCAGUGGACCAACGAGGAAUUUCUCAAUCAGCCAGUCCCGGGCGCAAUCAAUCUUUCGGACACCAGAAGAAGAAGAAGAAGAAGUUGCAGCCACUCGCAGCAACGGUAAGGACAACCAGAGCAAAAGGAAGACAUCGGACUGGCCGAAGAUAAUGAGGAAUUUCUCAAUCAGCCAGAGCCCCAACCAUAAUCGAUCUACCACAUGGUCAAGUGAAGGAGCCUGAGCCUAUCCUGCCCAUAGCAGGGCUACUAUAGGUAUAAAAGAGCAACCGAGCAACGAGGCAAAGUCAAGUGAACCAGCAAUACAGCAAGUAUGAGAAAAAGCCUAGCGAGGAGCAACCAAGGGCGGGCACCGGGACCCAGCGGGAAGCCGACGGAUUCUUCAUCCAAACUUUCAUGCAGACUCCGCCAGUCUCCUGGUUAACUAGAUGCCAGGGAAGAUUUCUUCGUGAAGGGUUGCUGUUAUGGGAGUGAUGACGACGAGGCCUCUUGCGAAACGUUAAGGCAAAGUCAAGCAAGUAGAAGAAGAGGAAGAAGGAGAGGAAGAAGAAAAAGAAGAAUUAAGAUAGUGGAAAGAUGGCCUCGGGGUGCCAGACAAGGUAUAAGCGUGUCAGUGAAUUUAACCUAACCUAACCCAGACCCAUAAGCAAGCAUUGUAAAUGCAUAAGCACACGUGUAUACCUUGUUUCUCGCACUUUGCAAUCCACGCGUCAAUUCUUUCAUGCAUUUCGAACUUGUUUGCUUAACCUUGGUCAAAUAAGAAGAGUAUAUUUCGAUUCGUUCAUAGGGUAAUUGCAUAUUUCUCGUAAUCUCUGCGGAGAUCUAGGAUAAAGUUUUUUUUUUUGUAAUUAACGAAAGGAAUCAGUUUGAGCAUAAUUGAAUUUAUGGAUAUACAUGGCUUGAUUCUACUUAGGAAAACAGAUUGAUUGGUAAGAAAAUUUUUCUCAAAGUUUUUUCUAUCGAGGUCGACUGUAAUGGGGCGUAGUAGUGUACUGUGGGUAUAUAUGUAUAUAGACUAUGUCCUGGAUUAUAUAGACAAAGGAAAUGGAAGCACUAAGGGAUUCUCUUUGUCGGAAGAUGGCAGACACGAAGCACACUUAGCCUUCCUAAUUGUCCCCGAAGCUUUACUCGUACUGCUAUGUGACCUGGUGCCAUCUUGGAAGGCUUGUUUUAAGUUCAGCCGCCGUGACGGGAUGAUCGUAUCUCGAGUUGGAAUUUUAUAGUAUUCCUUAUGGAAUUUCCGAGCGGGUACUACCUUCCAUUGUGAAUUCUGCCUGGGGAGUGGUAUCUAUCCCUUACGAAAUCUCAGGCUGGGCGUUACUUUGACAUCAUCCGGGAUCGGUUAAAUGGGACUCGGAGCUUACGUACUGUGUAUGAAGAAUUCCCAUAAGGUCCCAUUAACAAGAACGUUAGAAAUUUUUGCCAUUACCGGAAAAAUGUUGAAAAUUCAGUGGAAUUAUUGUUCCGUAAAAAUUAAGAAU
Cephus cinctus (wheat stem sawfly) is the source of this 1753-nucleotide long non-coding RNA. RefSeq lists it as uncharacterized. The transcript is spliced from 3 exons. NCBI's taxonomy places the organism in Eukaryota, Metazoa, Arthropoda, Insecta, Hymenoptera, Cephidae. The record is from RefSeq and is a predicted model, not a curated record.